RNAcentral lists this microRNA precursor (68 nucleotides) under Ophiophagus hannah (king cobra). Its description in RNAcentral is "mir-33 microRNA precursor family". It matches the Rfam family "mir-33 microRNA precursor family". Lineage: Eukaryota; Metazoa; Chordata; Lepidosauria; Squamata; Elapidae. The record is from Rfam by way of RNAcentral.
CGGUGGUGCAUUGUAGUUGCAUUGCAUGUGCAAGUGAAGAUGUGCAAUGCCCCUUCAGUGCAGCCCUG